This 253-nucleotide ribosomal RNA is filed under the name uncultured bacterium. Its description in RNAcentral is "partial 16S ribosomal RNA". It matches the Rfam family "Bacterial small subunit ribosomal RNA", at positions 524 to 776 of the family's 1533-position model. The record is from RNAcentral.
UACGGAGGGGGCUAGCGUUGUUCGGAUUUACUGGGCGUAAAGCGCGCGUAGGCGGCUUGGAAAGUUGGGAGUGAAAGCCCGGGGCUCAACCCCGGAACUGCUCUCAAAACUUCCAAGCUAGAGAUCUGGAGAGGAGGGUGGAAUUCCAAGUGUAGAGGUGAAAUUCGUAGAUAUUUGGAAGAACACCAGUGGCGAAGGCGACUCUCUGGCCAGAUACUGACGAUGAGGUGCGAAAGCGUGGGGAGCAAACAGG